This is a long non-coding RNA of Esox lucius (northern pike), 1194 nucleotides long. The record is from Ensembl. Lineage: Eukaryota; Metazoa; Chordata; Actinopteri; Esociformes; Esocidae.
CCCCUACAAAGAUUUAUUGAAACAUAUUUGGUAUGGUUAUGUUAACUUCAUUGGCAUGGUAACAUUUUCAGUCAAUCAUUUACAAUUACCCUCAGCGUACUUUGGUGAGGAACUUAUAGAACUUGAUUUAUGGAACCCCGCAUCUGAGGUUCUGGACUGUGUUGGUCGGUCUCGCCUGCUGCUGGCUUCCUCCCCUCUGUCACCCAUUCUUUUUAAUCCUCCGUAACUCUGUAUAAAGAGGACUUUUAACUGGUCUACUUUCUUACACGCUCCUGGCAGCGCCUUUUACUGGGUUCUUGCUCUUUGUGCCACCAUUAAGACAUUAUGGGCGUGAAGAUAUUGUAAUUAGAAGUUAAAGGUGGGCCUAGGGUUGUCUAGUGUUAUAAGCCAGGUGAUGUGCAGGCAUUGGGGUUGUCUUGUGUUAUAAGCCAGGUGAUGUGCAGGCAUUGGGGUUGUCUAGUGUUAUAAGCCAAGUGAUGUGCAGGCAUUGGGGUUGUCUUGUGUUAUAAGCCAAGUGAUGUGCAGGCAUUGGGGUUGUCUUGUGUAAUAUGACGCUGGUUGUGUCCAGUGUUUUUGACCAAUGUUAGUCUACUGUUAUAAGCCUGGUGCCGUGCGGGGACUAAGGUUGUCCAAGGUUAUAUGACACUGUUGAGUGUUAUAUGUCAAUGUUAUGUCUAGUGUUAUAAGCCACUGUUAUGUCUAGGGUCAAAAGCCAAUGUCAUGUCUAGUUUUAUAAGCCAUUGUUAUGUCUAGUGUCAUAAGCCAAUGUCAUGUCUAGAUUUAUAAGCCACUGUUAUGUCUGGUGUCAUAUGCCAAUGUCAUGUCUAGUUUUAUAAGCCACUGUUAUGUCUAGUGUUAAAAGAAAGAUCCAUCCAGUACAAUACCGUUGAUGGAUGGGUUAGAUUCAGCCCCACUGAUAUAUUCAGCAGACUCCUCUGUCUUUCUCAUUGUCUCUGUUCAAUCAAUAAAGCAGCAAAAUGCCCCCAAAUUAAAUAAAUAUUUUAUAAACUAGAAUAGAUUGAAAUAUAAUAUGUCCAUGCUGAUAUUCCAUCCAUGUAGACAGACAAUAUGUGGAAAAGAUAUAUGUUUCCCUGGAGAGUCCGGCUCGGCUUAUCCAGGAACGUCUGCCAUUUCCUCAGGUCAACGUCCCUCAGGGGCAAGAAUACUGAUAAAGUCAUUUUCGCUCUGUAGCUU